AGGCAUAACCGCAUUGUGGUUUUGUCGCAAGAAGGGUCAUCUUCACACAAUCCCAUGUAAUGAACAAGAAUGGGAUAAAGAGUGUUGGCUUACAAUCGCCACUUCACACAAUACAUAAAUAAAUUCAUACAUCAUCCAAAAUAUACACAUAGACCGACUACGGUCAAAUCCAAAUGAAAAGAAGAUAACCCCAAAUGCUAGAUCCCCGAUCGUCCCAACUGGGCUCCACUACUGAUCAUAAGGAAACGAAACAUAGUAACGACCAAGGUCCUCGUCAAACUCCCACUUGAGCUCGGUUGCGUCACCUGCACUGGUAUCAACGGCACCUGCAACUUUUUCGGAAGUAUCUGUGAGUCACGAGGACUCAGCAAUCUCACACCCGCGAGAUCAAGACUAUUUAAGUUUAUGGGUAGGAGAAGGUAGUGAGGUGGAGCUGCAGCAAGCACUAAGCAUAUAUGGUGGCUAACAUACGCAAAUAAUAGCGAGAAGAGGAGCAACGGAAACGGUCGUCAACUAGUAAUGAUCAAGAAGUGAUCCUGAACUCCUACUUACGUCAAACAUAACCCAAAAGCCGUGUUCUCUUCCCGGACUCCGCCGAAAAGAGACCAUCACGGCUACACGCGCGGUUGAUGCAUUUUAAUUAAGUCGAGUGUCAAGUUCUCUAGAACCGGAUAUUAACAAAUUCCCAUCUGCCACAUAACCGCGGGCAAGGCUCUCGAAAGUUUAUACCCUGCAGGGGUGUCCCAACUUAGCCCAUUAUAAGCUCUCACGGUCAACGAAGGAUAUUCCUUCUCCCGGGAAGACCCGAUUAGUCUCGGAAUCCCGGUUUACAAGACAUUUCGAAAAUGGUAAAACAAGACCAGCAAAGCCGCCCGAUGUGCCGACAAAUCCCGAUAGGAGCUGCACAUAUCUCGUUGUCAGGGCACACCGGAUGAGCAAGACAUCGGGUUGGCAUAGAACCGGGUUGCCCAGGGGGCGCCGGACAUCGCUCGGUUUGGACCAGCACUCGAAGGAGCACUGGCCCGGGGGUUUAAAUAAAGAUGACCCUUGAGUCUGUAGAACCCAAGGGAAAAAGGCUUAGGUGGCAAAUGUUAAAACCAAGGUUGGGCCUAGCUGGAGGAGUUUUAUUCAAAGCGAACUGUCAAGGGGGUCCCAUAAAUCACCCAACCGCGUAAGGAACGCAAAAUCAAGGAACAUAACACCGGUAUGACGGAAACUAGGGCGGCAAGAGUGGAACAAAACACCAGGCAUAAGGCCGAGCCUUCCACCUUUACCAAGUAUAUAGAUGCAUUAAUUAAAUAAGAGAUAUUGUGAUAUCCCAACAUAUCCAUGUUCCAACAUGGAACAAUCUUCAUCUUCACCUGCAACUAGCAACGCUAUACGAGGGGCUCAGCAAAGCGGUAACAUAGCCAAGCAACGGUUUGCUAGGAAGGCUGAAAAGGUUAGAGGCUGACAUGGCAAUAAGGGAGGCAUGAUAUAACAAGUGGUAGGUAGCGCAACAUAGCGAUAGAGCGAACAACUAGCAAGCAAAGAUAGAAGUGAUUUCGAGGGUAUGGUCAUCUUGCCUGAAAUCCCGCUAGGAAGAAGAACGAGUCCAUGAAGAAGACAAACGGAUGUAGUCGAAGGAAUCCUCACAACUCCAGAACGAAACCGAAGCUAACGAGAGAAGCAAACCGGAAAGAAGCAAACAACAUGGUAAACAACCAUCACAUGAACAUGGCAUGAUGCGCAACCAAGUAUGAUGCAUGUCCGGUUUAAUGAGGCAUGGCAUGGCAAAGUGCACAAACAAUACUACAAAUUAAGUGGAGCUCAAUAUGCAAUGAGUUGCAUAUAGACGAAACACCACAUUCGAGUUAUUUAGUUCGCUCUCGUUAAGGUACACAACAAUAUUAAAUGUUUUUAAACAUGGCAAGAGGUGAAUCAUAUGAAAACUACCUAUCUAGGCAAGUUUAAAUGAGGCCGGAACAACAAACAACAAUUCCGGAAAAUCCCCAUUUGCAUAUUUUGAAUUUGCUACUGUUCUGCCCUAAACACAAUUUUAAUGUUGUUAAACAGCAAAAUAAAGUGCACCAUGUUAAACUAGGCAUUUUUCUACCCCAUUUACAUAUAAAGUUUAUUUAAAUCCAAGCGACGGUUAUUUAGUUAUGAAAUAAAUCAUUUUAACAUGGCAUUUAUACAAAUUUAAACAAACAGCAAGUUUAAACAUUUUUAACAUGGAUGAAAGUAGCAUAUUAUGAAACUAGAUGAAAAACUAAGCAUUUUACAUGUAUAAAGUUUUACAUAUGAUGCACGGUUUUGAGUCACUAAAUGCAUGAUCUAGAGGGACUAAAUUGUAAAACAGUUGUCCUGGACAAAUGGAAAAACCGUUGAGCAGAGAAAAAAACAAUACUGGGCCAGAAGGAGAAGGUUAGUGCAGACCACCGGCGGAUUAGGCCCAAGCGCGUGUGAGUCAAUGUUGAUAAGAAGAACCAGAGGAAAAACCUGAGGCGCCUGGGACUCGAUCCCAAGACCUCUUGGACAGAGCAAGGAUUUCUGACCAGACGGGCUACUACUGAGCUCGUAGAGAAGCCUAGUGGCAAUUGUAAAUGAACUAUACAUGCGAGAACGGAUCUAGGAAAAGAAAGAAGGUUCGGUUAUGACGGAAGUUGCUCACAGCGAGGAAACAACAAGGCCGGUGGCCAUGGCGAGGCAGGGGCGCAGCUCGAGGUUGGGACUUGAGCGGCUAGUGCUGCUAGCGCGGUGGGGAGGUGGAGGAGGCCGGCGAGGAGGCGUGGAGGAAGGUGGCGGCUCAUCUGUUGGGUUCGCCGGCGAGAUGGAGCAGCGGCUGCUGCUGUUGCCUGAAGAAAGAAAAGAGAGAGAGAUAUUCAGAGAAGCAGUACAGAAAGGGGAAGAAGAGAGAAGGCGAGGGCGACGGGCGCGCGACCUGCGGGGCUCCGGUGGCGCGGCCGGGCAUGUGCGAGGAGGAGGCACGGGGUUGCGGAUCCGAACGGCGGGGGUCCUACGGGUCCUUGCUCCGGCUUGCAGAAGAACGAGCGGCGCCAUGUCCCUGUGCAGAGAACGAGAGAGAGAGACCAUGAGAGAGCAGAGAGAUGGAGAGGGAAAUGAAGAGAGAGGCCGGGCACGCGACCUGGGGCGACUGGAUGCUCAACCACAUGGGGUCUCCGAUGGCGCUACUGCUGCUCCGGGGCGGCAGUCAUGGCGGGGCAUGCUCCUAUUCUCCCUGAAGAAAGAGAGCGAGACCGCGGGGUGAGGGAGAGAGAAGAACCAGGGGAAGAAGGAAAAGAGAAGGAGAGGCAGGGUGCGGCGCGGGGACGGCCUGCAGGUGGCCGAAGGCUGGCCGGGGUGGCCUGGUAGAUGAUCGUCGGUGGAGGGAGCUCCGGUGGGGUGAUGUGGUCGUGGACGAGGAGCCUGCGGCCUCGGACGCCGGCGGGAAAGAAGCAGAGGGCUCGGGGCUGCAGCUGCUAGCUUCUGUAGGCGCGGACAACGACGACUGCGGGCGGCCGGGCGCGUCCAGGUCCAAGGGAGGAGGAGGCACGAGGCGCUAGUGCUGCUCGGGGUCGAGCCUUUGCUCUCCCGAGCAAGGAGGCGGCGGGAUCGAGGGGAAGCUUUGGGGCUGGUUCUGGUUGGUGGGAUUGGAUCGGGGGGAAUGAGGAGAUCCCGAGGAAGAAAGGGAGGUGGGUGGCGGCGGCUCGGGAAUAGGUGGAUGGAUGGGACAGGAUCCCUAGUUUCUAGGGUUAGAGUAGACUGAUUAUAUAGUGAGUGGUUUAGUUUAGGGGCUACCUCGUCCCUCCGAUCGCAAUCGGACGAUCGAGAAUAAAUAGGUAGGGAGUCCAAAUAACAAAAUGGAGAUAUUUAAUAGAUGUUAGGGGAUGAUCCGGACCCAAUGGUCAUGACUGAGCGAUUCGGGUUCGGGACAGCUUCGGACGCGCACACAAGGGGGUUUGUGCACUGUACAGAGAGACUCCAGUUUAGGCAAGAGGGCAAACGAAUAACAAGGUUGGUCUCAGAAUGGUCAACGAAAGCAAGGGGGGGACACGGCAACUACGAGUGGAUGCAAGUUUUAGAAACAAAGACGGCAACGAGGUGCCGAUGCAAUGCGAAUGAUGCCAUGAUGAACGCAACAAGCAAAUAAAACACACAACAACAACGAAAUAACUGGAAGGCUUCUAAAGCGUCGGUCUCGGGGCGUUACCACACUCCACCACUACAAGAGGAUCUCGUCCUGAGAUCUAGGAUGGCACCAGAGAGAAACGGAAGAGGAAGAGGUAAAAAAAGUUGCUUCUUUGACAAAUGAGUGAAACCAAAGAACCUUGAGAGGUCGCAAAGCUUGAAGAUAUGACAGGACGGAGGUGAACAAAAUUUAAACACUCCGUUCAGCAAGAGGAACGAGGUCCAUUACAUGAACCUUGUAGGUUGAAAAACAUGGAAAUAAGAGCUUCACGAACGAAAAGAAUAUGGCCACACCGAUAGAAAAGAGAAACAAGGAACACCAUGUGAACUUUCGAGUUUGCAAAGCUAUGAAUGACGAGAACAAUGGACGAGAAGUACAUGCAAGCACACCGGUUGAAACGAGAUGUACAAGGAGCGAUAAGGAUCAAUUACGAUAACGCUCCGGUCGGAAAUGAAAAGAAUAGAAUUUGAACUUGGCAAAAUGAAAGCAUUUGGAUGAGACUCCGGUUAAAAGAGGAAUCAUAGACACAACACUCCGGUUAAAUGGAUAAGUAAGAAAAGAACACGAUCCCCACAACUAGAGAUGAUGAUAGAAGAGAGCAACAUCACAAUGCCUCCGGAAGAAAUGAAAGAAUGGAAUGGAAUGAACAGAGGGAAACAAGAUCUUGAGAGAGCACGCUUACAACAAAUGCUAGAACGGAGUUGUUGGAUUAUCAACAACGAAAGGGUAAGCUUGAUGUGGGCUUAUGGAAGACAUGUCAAAAUUAUGAGGUGACAACCUGCCAUUCACCAAAAAAAAGAUUUGAUUGAGAGCUAGAAAAGAUAGAAAGCUUCUUCCACCGAGGUGAUAAGAAACUUGGAUCAUAUGUAAUCAUCACAAAGAGCAGCAUUCCCAAUGGAAGGCUUUAGGUGAAAUAUAUAACCCAAGAUAACUCCAAUGAAGGAAUGAUGGGUUUAAAUAUUUCAUUCUUAACAACUUGUGAACCUUGAAACACGAAGGAAAAUUGUCAAAAAUGGCAUAACACCAUCUCAGAAGAUAAGAUAGAGAGAAUUGCACUUCGGAAUGCAAGAUGAAGAAUGCUUGAACUCCUCAAAACAAGACAUGUGUUGAACACCAUUUUAUUUUAGAGUAUAGCUUCGCGGAUCAUAACUUCGAGAGAAUUCUUGAAGAACAAUUGAAGAAUGAAAAGAAUCUUUGAUGAACCACCAUGUAGAGCCUCCAUGAAGAACUCCGGUAAUGAAAAGAUGAUAAAAAGAAAGAUAAGUUGACAACACAAGGUGAAGCCUUGCAAUGAUUUAGAUGGAUCUUCGGGAUGAUAUAAUCGAUAAAACUUGGAACUCCGGAAAGAAAAGAUGAACAACUUGGAACCGAGAAUUUCAUAUCAUGAACGAACUCCGGAAGAAGGAAUUAAUCACUUGGAGGAAACAAGAAUAAGAAUUACAUUACGCGUAUCCUUCACCAAUUUAGAUUGAUGACAACCAACGGAUUUGGCAAACUACUUAUUCUCGUAGAAAGGAUUAAGAUAGAUAUAGCGCAAACUUGAGAAGGACUUCAACGAACCACCGGUAGGAUUGGAAAGAACGAAUGAAUCUAUAUGAUAACGAAGGAAGAGAACUCUUGAACGAACCACCGUGAGAAUUGAAAAUGAACGAAGAAAAGAUAAGGAAACACCGGGAAGAAUUAGAAAAUGAACGAAGAUACUUGAGAGAAUUUAGAUACAAGUGAACGCAGAGAUCAAGAGCUGACUAGAUGAUACUUGAACGAUUCACCGGUAAGAUUUGGAGAACGAGAGCUGAAAGCUUGAAUGAAUAUUCUGAGAUGAUGAGCUCCGGAGAAUCAAACUGAAAAGACUCCUGAAAUGCUCCGGAUGGGUGAAAAGAAUUCUCACAAUGGAAAACAAUUAUGAGAGGAUGGCAUCAAGCUAGAACCAUGAAUCUUGAAGAGAAUGGAGCAAGAUUUAAGAGAAACUCUUCUUCGGUCUUCAAAUGUUGAGAAUGACGAUGAGAAACACCACCAUGAAUUGUUGAGGCACUCCGGAAUGACAAUUAGAAAGAUUGAACCAACAAUGAAAAGAAUUUAAAAGAUCUUGGAGAAAGACAUUUGACUGAUGAUAAUUCAUUCUUACGUCAAACUUUGCAAUCAAUUUGAGAAUAACUCCGGAAAGAAUUAGAAGAGUUAGGUAAAAUCCUGGGAAAAGACCUGUGGGUUAGGGCCCACUCAAGAGAAACACCGUUGAACAAUUUCAAAGAGAGAUUGCGCCGGUUGAAUUAAAUGGCUUGAAUGAGAUAACAACCUCAAAAUAGCUUGAACGGAUCUUGAAUGAAAACACGAAUCUCCUAAGAUAUCUUCAACACUCCGGAACAAAAGAAUAGCGAGCGGUGAAAGAUUAAGAGAUACACCGUCAUAUGAAAGCACUUGAAACGGGGAAGGGGAUAAGAUCAACACCUGCAACUUUAAUUGAAUCCACCGAAAAAGAAUACGAGAAUGAAGAACGGUACACUUGAAGCUUCGUUAGUAUCUUCCCGAGAAUCACCAGAUAAGAACAUUGACGGAAAAAAAAUGGAGAGACUUCCCAUCUAUAAGAUGGAUACUUGAUUAAGAAAUCUGAGUCCUUGAAGAAAAAGGGUGGGAGGGCGGGGAAAACAAAGACAACUUGGGGACGGAUGAAACGAACAACGUUGGGAAACUGAGAAGUGAUCUUGCAAAUGUUGAAAUGAUUGGAUCCACUUGAAGAGAAGCACGCCGGUUGGAAAAGAGUCGACAUGACAACCUCAGUGAUCAAGAAGGAUUAGCACUCCCAUAGAAAUAUGAGAACACUGUUCAGAAAAGGUAUGGAAUCCACAUUUGACUUCAAAGAAACUCGAAUACCACAACUCAAAAAAAAACAAAGGAUUGGCUUGCAGAAUAAGCCAGAACAAACAUAUGAUAGAGAUUUCGUCCGAAGUUUUCGUGGUGGGUCCCACACGGGCUCGAUCGUACAGCACCAUCAUGUACAAGGCAGUGCACAUGACAUACGAAGUGUCCCCGAGUCGGCAUGGCCAAGGACUCUUUAAGACACUACGAGACCACUGUAAAACCAACCGUGGAAAGGCGGACCACCAGACGUCGAACCCCAAUCUCAUAUCAUGCAUCUGUCGGAAAGAUAUCCUAGGAGCUACAUGAAUUCCCACUUAUAAACUCCCGAAACUUUCUAGUUAUGCAAUCAGGUGUUGGGGAUACAGGGGACGCAAUAUAUCUCACCCAAACUAACAAUCCCUAGAUCCAGCUGUAUCCAUCCGUCAACACAUAACCAAGAAACCUUCGGAAAUCAUUUACCUCAACCUUCGAAAAGCAUCCGUUAUAUGAGUUCUCGCAAUACUCCCGAACUCCCGCCCCAGUACUGGGUGGCGUCAAGGUGAUCUCACCAACAACUGCAUAAAAGAGAUUUUCGAUGUCGGCGAAACUCAGGUAUUCCAGAACUGCAACGAUAAAAUUGUGACGACAACACCUCGGAGCUCAACUCCCCGGGACACUGCCACAACCCCUAAAUGUCAGGAGGCACCAAGAACAAUGUUCUCGUCACAAAACCAUCGGAACGAUUCCAAGAUACCCGCGUGAUCCUAAAUUUUUUUGUGAAAUUUGAGGAGAGGAGAGUCAAAACUUCUACGUCAGGGGGCCUCACCAGAGCGACGAAGGUACUGAGGAGUAAAAAGAAUCCUACUCUCCGAUAUAUAUAAUCCUAAGACUCAAAACAUUUUUUCUAGACACAACAACGCCAGCGAUUCGAUCAAGCAGGGGGCUCCUAAGUCGGGGCUGGCUCUGAUUACCAACUUCUAACACCCACGAUGCGGCUAUAUCUCCCACGUGUCGAGGCACGACUUAGAGGCAUAACCGCAUUGUGGUUUUGUCGCAAGAAGGGUCAUCUUCACACAAUCCCAUGUAAUGAACAAGAAUGGGAUAAAGAGUGUUGGCUUCCAAUCGCCACUUCACACAAUACAUAAAUAAAUUCAUACAUCAUCCAAAAUACACACAUAGACCGACUACGGUCAAUCCAAAUGAAAAGAAGAUAACCCCAAAUGCUAGAUCCCCGGUCGUCCCAACUGGGCUCCACUACUGAUCAUCAGGAAACGAAACAUCGUAACGACCAAGGUCCUCGUCGAACUCCCACUUGAGCUCGGUUGCGUCACCUGCACUGGUAUCAACGGCAUCUGCAACUGUUUUGGAAGUAUUUGUGAGUCACGAGGACUCAGCAAUCUCACACCCGCGAGAUCAAGACUAUUUAAGCUUAUGGGUAGGAGAAGGUAGUGAGGUGGAGCUGCAGCAAGCACUAAGCAUAUAUUGUGGCUAACAAAUGCAAGUAAGAGCGAGAAGAGGAGCAACGGAAACGGUCGUCAACUAGUAAUGAUCAAGAAGUGAUCCUGAACUCCUACUUACGUCAAACAUAACCCAAAAGCCGUGUUCUCUUCCCGGACUCCGCCGAAAAGAGACCAUCACGGCUACACACGCGGUUGAUGCGUUUUAAUUAAGUCGAGUGUCAAGUUCUCUACCACCGGAUAUUAACAAAUUCCCAUCUGCCACAUAACCGCGGGCACAGCUCUCGAAAGUUUAUACCCUGCAGGGGUUUCCCAACUUAGCCCAUUAUAAGCUCUCACGGUCAACGAAGGAUAUUCCUUCUCCCAUGAAGACCCGAUCAGUCUCGGAAUCCCGGUUUACAAGACAUUUCAACAAUGGUAAAACAAGACCAGCAAAGCCGCCCGAUGUGCCGACAAAUCCCGAUAGGAACUGCACAUAUCUCGUUCUCAGGGCACACCUGAUGAGCAAGACGUCGAGUUGGCAUAGACCCUGGUUGCCCAGGGGGCGCCCGACAUCGCCCGGUUUGGACCAGCACUCGAAGGAGCACUGGCCCGGGGGUUUAAAUAAAGAUGACCCUUGAGUCUGCAGAACCCAAGGGAAAAAGGCUUAGGAGGCAAAUGUUAAAACCAAGGUUGGGCCUUGCUGGAGGAGUUUUAUUCAAAGCGAACUGUCAAGGGGGUCCCAUAAAUCACCCAACCGCGUAAGGAACGCAAAAUCACGGAACAUAACACCGGUAUGAUGGAAACUAGGGCGGGAAGAGUGGAACAAAACACCAGGCAUAAGGCCGAGCCUUCCACCCUUUACCAAGUAUAUAGAUGCAUUAAUUAAGUAAGAGAUAUUGUGAUAUCCCAACAUAUCCGUGUUCCAACAUGGAACAAUCUUCAUCUUCACCUGCAACUAGCAACGCUAUGAGAGGGGUUGAGCAAAGCGGUAACAUAGCCAAGCAACGGUUUGCUAGGAAGGCUGAAAAGGUUAGAGGCUGACAUGGCAAUAAGGGAGGCAUGCUAUAACAAGUGGUAGGUAGCGCAACAUAGCGAUAGAGCGAACAACUAGCAAGCAAAGAUAGAAGUGAUGUCGAGGGUAUGGUCAUCUUGCCUGAAAUCCCGCUAGGAAGAAGAACGAGUCCAUGAAGAAGACAAACGGAUGUAGUCGAACGAAUCCUCACAACUCCGGAACGAAACCGAAGCUAACGAGAGAAGCAAACUGGAAAGAAGCAAACAACAUGGUAAACAACCAUCACAUAAACAUGGCAUGAUGCGCAACCAAGUAUGAUGCAUGUCCGGUUUAAUGAGGCAUGGCAUGGCAAAGUGCACAAACAAUACUACAAAUUAAGUGGAGCUCAAUAUGCAAUGAGUUGCAUAUAGACGAAACACCACAUUCGAGUUAUUUAGUUCGCUCUCGUUAAGGUACACAACAAUAUUAAAUGUUUUUAAACAUGGCAAGAGGUGAAGCAUAUGAAAACUACCUAUCUAGGCAUGUUUACAUGAGGCCGCAACAACAAACAACAAUUCCGGAAAAUCCCCAUUUGCAUAUUUUGAAUUUGCUACUGUUCUGCCCUAAACAUAAUUUUAAUGUUGUUAAACAGAAAAAUAAAGUGCACCAUGUUAAACUAGGCAUUUUUCUACCCCAUUUACAUAUAAAGUUUAUUUAAAUCCGAGCAACGGUUAUUUAGUUAUGAAAUAAAUCAUUUUAACAUGGCAUUUAUACAAAUUUAAACAAACAGCAAGUUUAAACAUUUUUAACAUGGAUGAAAGUAGAAUAUUAUGAAACUAGAUGAAAAACUAAGCAUUCUACAUGUAUAAAGUUUUUACAUACGAUGCAUGGUUUGUCAGUCAUUAAAUGCAUGAUCUAGAGGGACUAAACUGUAAAAUAGUUGUCCUGGACAAAUGGAAAAACCGUUGAGCAGAGAAAAAAAACAAUACUGGGCCGGAAGGAGAAGGUCAGUGUAGACCACCGGCGGAUUAGGCCCAAGCGCGUGUGAGUCAGCGUUGACAAAAAGAACCAGAGGAAUAACCUGAGGCGCCUGGCACUCGAUCCCAAGACCUCUUGGACAGAGCAAGGAUUUCUGACCGGACGGGCUACUAAUGAGCUCGUGGAGAAGCCUAGUGGCAAUUGUAAAUGAACUAUACAUGCCAGAACGGAUCUAGGAAAAUAAAGAAGGUUCGUUUAUGACGGAAGUUGCUCACAGCGAGGAAACAACAAGGCCGGUGGCCAUGGCGAGGCAGGGGCGCAGCUCGAGGAUGGGACUUGAGCGGCUGGUGCUGCUGGCAUGGUGGGGAGGUGGAGGAGGCCAGCGAGGAGGCGUGGAGGAAGGUGGCGGCUCAUCUGCUGGGUUCGCCGGCGAGAUGGUGCAGCGGCUGCUGCUGUUGCCUGAAGAAAGAAAAGAGAGAGAGAUAUUCAGAGAAACAGAACAGAAAGGGGAAGAAGAGAGAAGGCGAGGGCGACGGGCGCGCGACCUGCGGGGCUCCGGUGGCGUGGCCGGGCAUGUGCGAGGAGGAGGCACGGGGUUGCGGAUCUGAACGGCGGGGGUCCUACGGGUCCUUGCUCCGGCUUGCAGAAGAACGAGCGGCGCCAUGUCCCUGUGCAGAGAACGACAGAGAGAGACCAUGAGAGAGCAGAGAGAUGGAGAGGGAAAUGAAGAGAGAGGCAGGGCACGCGACCUGGGGCGACUGGAUGCUCACCCACAAGGGGUCUCCGAUGGCGCUACUGCUGCUCCGGGGCGGCAGUCAUGGCGGGGCAUGCUCCUGUUCUCCCUGAAGAAAGAGAGAGAGAGACCGCGGGGUGAGGGAGAGAGAAGAACUAGGGGAAUAAGGAAAAGAGAAGGAGAGGCAGGGUACGGCGCGGGGACGGCCUGUAGGUGGCCGAAGGCUGGCCGGGUUGGCCUGGUGGAUGUUCGUCGGCGGAGGGAGCUCCGGUGGGGUGAUGUGGUCGUGGACGAGGAGGCUGCGGCCUCGGACGCCGGCAGGAAAGAAGCAGAGGGCUCGGGGCUGCAACUGCUAGCUCCUGUAGGCGCGGACGACGACAGCCGCGGGCGGCCGGACGCGUCCAGGACCAAGGGAGGAGGAGGCACGAGGCGCCGGUGCUGCUCGGGGUCGAGCCUUUGCUCUCCCGAGCAAGGAGGCGGCGGGAUCGAGGGGAAGCUUCGGGGCUGGUUCUGGUUGGUG
This 11667-nucleotide long non-coding RNA is filed under the name Triticum aestivum (bread wheat). RNAcentral describes it as "long non-coding RNA (TAES_LNC028607)". Lineage: Eukaryota; Viridiplantae; Streptophyta; Magnoliopsida; Poales; Poaceae. The record is from RNAcentral.